This 68-nucleotide transfer RNA is filed under the name Anurida maritima. RNAcentral describes it as "tRNA-Ser". The record is from RNAcentral. Lineage: Eukaryota; Metazoa; Arthropoda; Collembola; Poduromorpha; Neanuridae.
AAAGAAAAAGAGGCUCAUGUCUAAGCCGCUAACUUCAGGCAUAAGUGGUUGAACUCCAUUUUAUUUCU